This 508-nucleotide ribosomal RNA is filed under the name uncultured bacterium. Its description in RNAcentral is "partial 16S ribosomal RNA". It matches the Rfam family "Bacterial small subunit ribosomal RNA", at positions 30 to 523 of the family's 1533-position model. The record is from RNAcentral.
AUUGAACGCUGGCGGCAGGCCUAACACAUGCAAGUCGAGCGGCAGCGGGAAAGUAGCUUGCUACUUUUGCCGGCGAGCGGCGGACGGGUGAGUAAUGCCUGGGAAAUUGCCCAGUCGAGGGGGAUAACAGUUGGAAACGACUGCUAAUACCGCAUACGCCCUACGGGGGAAAGCAGGGGACCUUCGGGCCUUGCGCGAUUGGAUAUGCCCAGGUGGGAUUAGCUAGUUGGUGAGGUAAUGGCUCACCAAGGCGACGAUCCCUAGCUGGUCUGGGAGGAUGAUCAGCCACACUGGAACUGAGACACGGUCCAGGCUCCUACGGGAGGCAGCAGUGAGGAAUAUUGCACAAUGGGGGAAACCCUGAUGCAGCCAUGCCGCGUGUGUGAAGAAGGCCUUCGGGUUGUAAAGCACUUUCAGCGAGGAGGAAAGGUCAGUAGCUAAUAUCUGCUGGCUGUGACGUUACUCGCAGAAGAAGCACCGGCUAGCUCCGUGCCAGCAGCCGCAGUAA